CAGUCGCCGCGGGAAUGCGGAGGGUGCAAGCGUUAAUCGGAAUUACUGGGCGUAAAGCGUGCGCAGGCGGUAAUGUAAGACAGAUGUGAAAUCCCCGGGCUCAACCUGGGAACUGCAUUUGUGACUGCAUUGCUGGAGUGCGGCAGAGGGGGAUGGAAUUCCGCGUGUAGCAGUGAAAUGCGUAGAUAUGCGGAGGAACACCAGUGGCGAAGGCGGCUACCUGGACCAGCACUGACACUGAAGCACGAAAGCGUGGGGAGCAAACAGGAUUAGAGACCCGCGUAGUCCCUGUCUCUUAUAC
This 301-nucleotide ribosomal RNA is filed under the name uncultured bacterium. RNAcentral's name for it is "partial 16S ribosomal RNA". It matches the Rfam family "Bacterial small subunit ribosomal RNA", at positions 509 to 807 of the family's 1533-position model. The record is from RNAcentral.